AUGUACCGCCCGUACACUCCGGUUCCUGCGCGCCGCGCGCACCCGCCUGACAACCGCUCGCUACGUUUUAUCAGUC
This is a small RNA of 76 nucleotides. It matches the Rfam family "Xanthomonas sRNA sX9".